AACGAACGCUGGCGGCAGGCCUCAAACAUGCAAGUCUAGGGGGUGUAGCAAUACAUCACCGGCGGACGGGUGCGUAACACGUGGGAAUAUACCUUUUUGGUUCGGAACAACGCAGGGAAACUUGCGCUAAUACCGAAUGUGCCCUUACGGGGAAAGAUUUAUCGCCAAAGGAUUAGCCCGCGUAGGAUUAGCUAGUUGGUGAGGUAAUGGCUCACCAAGGCUCCGAUCCUUAGCUGUUCUGAGAGGAAGAUCAGCCACACUGGGACUGAGACACGGCCCAGACUCCUACGGGAGGCAGCAGUUGGGAAUCUUGGACAAUGGGGGAAACCCUGAUCCAGCCAUGCCGCGUGAGUGAUGAAGGCCUUCGGGUUGUAAAACUCUUUCGACGGGGACGAUAAUGACGGUACCCGUAGAAGAAGCUCCGGCUAACUUCGUGCCAGCAGCCGCGGUAAU
RNAcentral lists this ribosomal RNA (453 nucleotides) under uncultured bacterium. RNAcentral's name for it is "bacterial SSU rRNA". It matches the Rfam family "Bacterial small subunit ribosomal RNA", at positions 29 to 524 of the family's 1533-position model. The record is from RNAcentral.